CCCUUAGACGUUCUAGGCGGCACGCGCGCUACAAUGGGUGGUAGAACGUGUAACUGCUCCCGAAAGGGAGGGUGAACCACGAAUACUUACCCGUGAAUGGGAUAGUUUGUUGCAAUUUUCGGACUUGAACUAGGAAUCCCUUGUAAGAAUGCUCAAGAAUAGCGUGCUGAAUACGUCCCUGCCGUUUGUACACACCGCCCGUCGUUUCUUCCGACUGAUACUCAUUGUGAGUUGCAAGGAUUCUUAUUGAAAAAUUGCUGCGAAUGCUUUGUAUUGGAGGAAGAAAAAGUCGUAACA
Molecule: ribosomal RNA, 297 nt
Filed under: uncultured eukaryote
Lineage: Eukaryota
Description: partial 18S ribosomal RNA
Rfam family: Eukaryotic small subunit ribosomal RNA
Source: RNAcentral